Molecule: long non-coding RNA, 696 nt
Filed under: Struthio camelus australis
Lineage: Eukaryota; Metazoa; Chordata; Aves; Struthioniformes; Struthionidae
Description: lncRNA (ENSSCUG00000010256.1)
Source: RNAcentral
CUCAAAGUAGAGAUGAAAGAUUCAAAUUGUAGUCCAUUUACUAGAAAGAAGCUCGUGCUAUUUAGGACUCUAAAAUGUUUCUUUCAAAUGCAAGAAAAGUCUUCUGCUAAGUACUUGUAUAUAGUAUAGCCAUAAAUUCUUGUUUAUCUGCUGUGCUGCAGUUUGUGUGUCUGCAUUUCUUGUCAUGUUGUGAUUACUGAGGGGUUUUUUUUCUUCUUUAUUUUUGAGAGCUCUACAGUGCUUGCAUUUAUCGAGAGAAGACACACAGCCCAGCCUUGCAUAAAUAAUGGCACUGGGCCAAGUACAGCGGAGGUGGCUGCCAGCACAACUCCAUUGAAGUCAAAGGAAUCGCACCAUGGAACCUUACACAUAAUAACUGCCCUGCUGUCCAGAAAAAUAAGGGUGUUAUUCUGAAGAGCUCACAGCCUAAUCAGAUGCUAUAGCAGCAAGUGGAAACGAUGAAGGAAAAUGCUGGAGCGAGCUGACAAAGGAGCAAGUGGUCUACAGAUUAAGCAUAUCCUCUUAUGGAGAGCCCAGGGUAUACGUGUCACGUACCACAUAGGAGUUCAAAUGCGAAGUGGUAAAUUCAGCUUGCUACAUGUCAGAAAUGGCUCUACUCCAUCAUGGUGAGUAGGAAGGGUACAAAGGAGAAGAAGGGGAAAUAUAUUGUAGCUUUGUUCCAGUUAUCAUCUGAUC